RNAcentral lists this ribosomal RNA (800 nucleotides) under Staphylococcus sp. Mg59. RNAcentral's name for it is "bacterial SSU rRNA". It matches the Rfam family "Bacterial small subunit ribosomal RNA", at positions 75 to 859 of the family's 1533-position model. The record is from RNAcentral. Lineage: Bacteria; Bacillati; Bacillota; Bacilli; Caryophanales; Staphylococcaceae.
GGAGCUUGCUCCUUUGAAGUUAGCGGCGGACGGGUGAGUAACACGUGGGUAACCUACCUAUAAGACUGGAAUAACUUCGGGAAACCGGAGCUAAUGCCGGAUAACAUUUGGAACCGCAUGGUUCUAAAGUAAAAGAUGGUUUUGCUAUCACUUAUAGAUGGACCCGCGCCGUAUUAGCUAGUUGGUAAGGUAACGGCUUACCAAGGCAACGAUACGUAGCCGACCUGAGAGGGUGAUCGGCCACACUGGAACUGAGACACGGUCCAGACUCCUACGGGAGGCAGCAGUAGGGAAUCUUCCGCAAUGGACGAAAGUCUGACGGAGCAACGCCGCGUGAGUGAUGAAGGUUUUCGGAUCGUAAAACUCUGUUAUUAGGGAAGAACAAAUGUGUAAGUAACUGUGCACAUCUUGACGGUACCUAAUCAGAAAGCCACGGCUAACUACGUGCCAGCAGCCGCGGUAAUACGUAGGUGGCAAGCGUUAUCCGGAAUUAUUGGGCGUAAAGCGCGCGUAGGCGGUUUCUUAAGUCUGAUGUGAAAGCCCACGGCUCAACCGUGGAGGGUCAUUGGAAACUGGGAAACUUGAGUACAGAAGAGGAAAGUGGAAUUCCAUGUGUAGCGGUGAAAUGCGCAGAGAUAUGGAGGAACACCAGUGGCGAAGGCGACUUUCUGGUCUGUAACUGACGCUGAUGUGCGAAAGCGUGGGGAUCAAACAGGAUUAGAUACCCUGGUAGUCCACGCCGUAAACGAUGAGUGCUAAGUGUUAGGGGGUUUCCGCCCCUUAGUGCUGCAGCUAACGCA